UACGGAAGGCAGCAGUGGGGAAUAUUGCACAAUGGGCGAAAGCCUGAUGCAGCUAUGCCGCGUGUAUGAAGAAGGCCUUAGGGUUGUAAAGUACUUUCAUCGGGGAGGAAAAACAAAACUAAUAAUUUUAUUUCUUGACGUUACCCGAAAAAGAAGCACCGGCUAACUCCGUGCCAGCAGCCGCGGUAAUACGGAGGGUGCUAGCGUUAAUCAGAAUUACUGGGCGUAAAGAGCACGUAGGUGGUUUUUUUAAGUCAGAUGUGAAAUCCCUGGGCUUAACCUAGGAACUGCAUUUUGAAACUGAAAUACUAGAGUAUCGUAGAGGGAGGUAGAAUUCUAGGUGUAGCGGUGAAAUGCGUAGAUAUCUGGAGGAAUACCUGUGGCGAAAGCGGCCUCCUGGACAAAGCUGACGCUCAUGUGCGAAAGCGUGGGGAGCAAACAGGGAUUAGAUACC
RNAcentral lists this ribosomal RNA (454 nucleotides) under uncultured bacterium. Its description in RNAcentral is "bacterial SSU rRNA". It matches the Rfam family "Bacterial small subunit ribosomal RNA", at positions 340 to 786 of the family's 1533-position model. The record is from RNAcentral.